UACGGAGGGGGCUAGCGUUGUUCGGAAUUACUGGGCGUAAAGCGCACGUAGGCGGAUUGGCAAGUUGGGGGUGAAAUCCCGGGGCUCAACCCCGGAACUGCCUCCAAAACUUCCAGUCUUGAGUCCGAGAGAGGUGAGUGGAAUUCCGAGUGUAGAGGUGAAAUGCGUAGAUAUCCGGAGGAACACCGGUGGCGAAGGCGGCUUCCUGGACCGACACUGACGCUGAGGCGCGAAAGCUAGGGGAGCAAACGGG
This 253-nucleotide ribosomal RNA is filed under the name uncultured bacterium. RNAcentral's name for it is "partial 16S ribosomal RNA". It matches the Rfam family "Bacterial small subunit ribosomal RNA", at positions 524 to 776 of the family's 1533-position model. The record is from RNAcentral.